CCUACGGGUGGCAGCAGUGAGGAAUAUUGGUCAAUGGACGAGAGUCUGAACCAGCCAAGCCGCGUGAAGGAUGACUGCCCUAUGGGUUGUAAACUUCUUUUGUCUGGGAAUAAAAUGUUCCACGUGUGCCAUUUUGUAUGUACCUUAUGAAAAAGGAUCGGCUAACUCCGUGCCAGCAGCCGCGGUAAUACGGAGGAUCCGAGCGUUAUCCGGAUUUAUUGGGUUUAAAGGGUGCGUAGGUGGGUUGUUAAGUCAGUGGGGAAAGUUUGCGGCACAACCGGAGAAUUGCAGUUGAAACUGGCAGUCUUGAGUGCGGGAGAGGUGGGCGGAAUGCGUGGUGUAGCGGUGAAAUGCAUAGAUAUCACGCAGAACCCCGAUUGCGAAGGCAGCUCACUGGACUGCAACUGACGCUGAGGCACGAAAGUGUGGGUAUCAAACAGGAUUAGAUACCCGAGUAGUC
This 460-nucleotide ribosomal RNA is filed under the name uncultured bacterium. RNAcentral describes it as "partial 16S ribosomal RNA". It matches the Rfam family "Bacterial small subunit ribosomal RNA", at positions 338 to 795 of the family's 1533-position model. The record is from RNAcentral.